UGGGGAAUAUUGCGCAAUGGGGGAAACCCUGACGCAGCAACGCCGCGUGAAGGAUGAAGGUUUUCGGAUCGUAAACUUCUUUGAUGAGGGACGAACAAAAUGACGGUACCUCAAAAACAAGCCACGGCUAACUACGUGCCAGCAGCCGCGGUAAUACGUAGGUGGCGAGCGUUGUCCGGAAUUACUGGGUGUAAAGGGCGUGUAGGCGGGGAUGUAAGUCAGAUGUGAAAUUCCAUGGCUCAACUGUGGGGCUGCAUCUGAAACUAUGUCUCUUGAGUGCCGGAGAGGGAAGCGGAAUUCCUAGUGUAGCGGUGAAAUGCGUAGAUAUUAGGAGGAACACCAGUGGCGAAGGCGGCUUUCUGGACGGUAACUGACGCUGAGGCGCGAAAGCGUGGGG
This 397-nucleotide ribosomal RNA is filed under the name uncultured bacterium. Its description in RNAcentral is "bacterial SSU rRNA". It matches the Rfam family "Bacterial small subunit ribosomal RNA", at positions 355 to 766 of the family's 1533-position model. The record is from RNAcentral.